UAUGUGAUCGUCUCUCGCAUAUCAAUAAGCGGAGGAAAAGAAACUAACAAGGAUUCCCCUAGUAACGGCGAGUGAAGCGGGAAGAGCUCAAAUUUGAAAUCUUAAAGGGUUUCCCUUUACGAAUUGUAGUUUAAAGAAGUGUUUUCUGUUGAGGUUUUGGUAAAAGUUCUUUGGAAUAGGACAUCAUAGAGGGUGAGAAUCCCGUAUUUGACCUUUACUUUCAACUUUGUGAUACACUUUCAAAGAGUCGGAUUGUUUGGGAAUGCAGUCCAAAAUGGGUGGUAAAUUUCAUCUAAAGCUAAAUAUUGGCGAGAGACCGAUAGCGAACAAGUACCGUGAGGGAAAGAUGAAAAGAACUUUGAAAAGAGAGUUAAACAGUACGUGAAAUUGUCAAAAGGGAAGCGUUUGACACCAGUGUUGUUUUUCUGAAAAUCAAUUAAAGAACUGUUUAUGCUAAGCUGUUUAGACUUUAUCAGCUAACUGUUUAGUUUUGAGCUUUUCUUUAAUGCACUUUUCAGUUAACAAGUCAACAUCAAUUUCUUUUGCUGUAAAAAAGCUUGAGGAAGGUGGCUUGAGAUUCGUCUUAAGUGUUUAUAGCCUCUUGCCUAUGCAGUCGGAGAGAUUGAGGUCUGCAGCGUAGAUCCUUCGGGGCUAAAUGCAUUUGUGCUAAGUUAUAGCAUUUUAUAGACAACUUGUUGACUAUGAUUUGUCUUGUAGCUUACUCGCUUAUGUUAUUUUACCUACGCUUAGGAUGUUGAAUCUGUGCGAGACUAC
This 774-nucleotide ribosomal RNA is filed under the name uncultured Neocallimastigales. RNAcentral describes it as "partial large subunit ribosomal RNA". It matches the Rfam family "Eukaryotic large subunit ribosomal RNA", at positions 24 to 644 of the family's 3401-position model. Lineage: Eukaryota; Fungi; Neocallimastigomycota; Neocallimastigomycetes; Neocallimastigales. The record is from RNAcentral.